Molecule: ribosomal RNA, 230 nt
Filed under: uncultured bacterium
Lineage: Bacteria
Description: partial 16S ribosomal RNA
Rfam family: Bacterial small subunit ribosomal RNA
Source: RNAcentral
GCAAGUCGAACGAUGAAGCAUUCUUCGGAAUGUGGAAGAGUGGCGAACGGGUGAGGAACACGUAAGAAUCUGCCCCUCUUUCGGGGACAACUCUUGGAAACGAGAGCUAAUACCCGAUACGCGGUGGAGUGAAAGAAUGUCGCCGAGGGAUGAUCUUGCGGCUGAUUAGCGAGUGGGUGUGGUAAUGGCAUACCAAGGCGACGAGCCCGAGCUGGUCUGAGAGGAUGAGC